UACGGAGGGUGCGAGCGUUAUCCGGAUUCACUGGGUUUAAAGGGAGCGCAGGCGGAUUUGUAAGUCAGUGGUGAAAGGCUUAAGCUUAACUUGGGAACUGCCAUUGAUACUAUAAGUCUUGAAUGUUGUUGAGGUUUGCGGAAUGGGUCAUGUAGCGGUGAAAUGCAUAGAUAUGACCCGGAACACCUAUUGCGAAGGCAGCAGGCUAAACAAAUAUUGACGCUGAGGCUCGAAAGCGUGGGGAUCAAACAGG
RNAcentral lists this ribosomal RNA (253 nucleotides) under uncultured bacterium. RNAcentral's name for it is "partial 16S ribosomal RNA". It matches the Rfam family "Bacterial small subunit ribosomal RNA", at positions 524 to 776 of the family's 1533-position model. The record is from RNAcentral.